CUGUUGCUCAUCUACAGUGUUUGCAGCUUUUUGCCCACCCUCUUCCUACUCUUGAAGGAGGAGCCAGAGGCUUCUGUGAGGUACUGGGGCUGGAGUCGAGAACUGCAGAUGGAAGCGGGAGAGAAGAAAGAGGCUCCCACCUGGCUUCUCACCCACGACCUACUGCUGGGUGGGAGGAGAAGGUGAUGGCACCAGGGGUUGACAAGGUGUUCAAUCCAGGGCAACUGGACUCUCUCUCCCUGGAAUGGGGUUUAGGACUCUGAGAAACAGUAGCUACGAAGCAGCUACGCCAUAAGCUCACAGAGAGUUGAGGCCAUUUGGAGCCAUGAGUGACCAUGUGGAAGCAGAAGCAGCUAGUCUUCAGAGAGAAAGCCCAGCUGCACAGAGAGAAGUGGUGAUAAGGAACUGUGCUGCCCCUGGAAGGAGUGAUGCAGGUGAGAGGCAGCCUGUCUCUCCCACAUUUUACCCUCUCCUUGGAUGUUUACCAGAUUGUCUGUUAUAACCUUCCAAUAAACCUCCUUUUCCUUGAGCUGGCUUGAGAGGGUUUCUGUUCCUUGCAACCACAUGGCCUUGAACUAAGACAUGAACAACACAUCUUAAGCAUAAAGUUCCUGGUGCAGUGCUUAACUCAUCAUUGGCAACUAAAAACUGUAGCUAUUAUUAUUUCAUUUGCUCCUCAAAGAAACCUGAUGAGAAAAAAAGGUAUUAUUAUACCCAUUGGGAAAAUGAGAAAACUGGGGCUUGUUGACAUAGCAGCAAAUACUGGCUAAAUUCCAGUGCUGGGGAUUCAGGAGAGACAAGGUCCCAGCUUUGAAGAUGCCUGCAUUCCUAUGCAGCAGGCAGACAACAAACAAAUUUAGGUUGAGCAUCACAAAUUCAAAAAUCUGCAAUCCAAAAUGCUGCAAAAUCCAAAACUUUUUGAGCACAGACAUGGUGUUCAAAGGAAAUGCUCAAUGGAGCAUUUUGGAUUUUCAAUUUCUGGAUUUGGAAUUCUGAACCAGCAAAAUGCAAAUAUUCCAAAAUCCAUACAAAUCUGAAAUCAGGAACACUU
This 1051-nucleotide long non-coding RNA is filed under the name Homo sapiens (human). RNAcentral's name for it is "HSALNT0005076". The record is from RNAcentral. Lineage: Eukaryota; Metazoa; Chordata; Mammalia; Primates; Hominidae.